GAAACAGAUGGAUCUAUGACAGCUUACAAAAUUGAUAAGCACCAACCCAAUACAGUAGUAGGUACAUUUCUUGCAUUAACAAGCUGGCAACAUGUUCUCGUACAUAUGUAUUGUUUUUACCCGGAAUAAGGAUAUCCUGUAAUGGAUAUGUUCGUUUGCCCCUGGAUUUCAAUUCAAACUUGACUAGUCCAUUGAUUCAGUGUUGAUCUUAAGAUUCGGUGGACAAGUGGCCAACGGAACCCCAAUCACCUCCCCUUUCCCUUUCCUAAGCUGCUGCCUUUCCUAAGCAGCUUGGCUGCCUUUUAAGGCUGCAGUUCGCUGGCUUAAAAGGCAGCAAACUGCUGCCUUUUAAGCCUCAAAUAAUUAUUAUUAUUAUUUUAUUUUUUAUAAUAAAAAGCUCGCGAGCUCACGGGCCAGCUCGUGCAAAACUCGUGUCUCCAAAAUGGGGCUUGGCCCGAGCCUAAGCUCGAAUCUACGAGCCCCGAGCCAAGUCACGGGCGGCUCGAGUCGGCGAGCCCGAUUAUCAUCCCUGCCCAACACCACCUCAUCCACCACACAGCCUAAACUAUACAUCUCUCUACACUUAGGGGGCGGCGCGGUGGGAACCCUUAAGCUUGGGGUUCAAACUUUUUUUUUUUUUUUUACAUCUCUCUACACUCUCUCUAUUAUCUACCACCAACUCUGGCCUCUGUAAUUGACUUUGACCACAUAGGGAACAAUCACACCCAUCGUUGAGUCCAACAUCCAGAAAGAGUCCAAUCCAACACUUCGUUCUCUGCCUCCAUGGUAGUACCAAGAAGAUGAGGUAAACAGAAAAAUCGACCACCUAUCCUCCUUCAUGUGCUUCUAGUAGUCGGUGCAAUGAUGUUCAUCGCACUCUUAGAAGUAGUUGCGCUGAUGUUUUCUUGCGCUGAUGCCGACAAGUUUGACUUAAUCGACUCAGAAAAGUCGAUCCAAUCGAAUUUCUUCAACUCUGACAAUGAAGGCUUCCUCUCAAUCAAUGAUUGCAACCUCAGUGAUGUGAGGUCCAUGAUUGGAGGAUUAAAUUGACUUCCCUAAAAUCAAUAGACUUAAGGCUUAAAAGCUUGCUAAACUACCAACGACUUUAAGAUGAAGGUGGUGGUUAUGGAUUGAGGAAUAGGUGGGAGUCCCUUGUUCAAUCUAUCGACCCAGAUACUGUGUCCUAUUUUGGGCGGCGCCUAUUUUGCUUGCUGUUUUGGGUUGUUGAGGUGGUGUUUUGUGGAUCUAUUUGUGAUGCAUGUGUGUGAUUGUUUGUGCUAUGUGUAUGGUAUAUUUGGAGGCGGUGGUGAUGGAUUAUAGUGGUGAUUUGUGUGGGACGUUGGAGACGGUGGUGGUGAGGUGAUAUCAGUAUUUUUUUUGUGGUGCUGGUAGGACGGAAUGGGUCAAAAGAGGAACGUUUGGUACCAACUAUUAGAUAAUUGUCACAAUAAAUAAAUAAAAUUGUGAUCAAUGAAUAAUAUGUAAGCUUCAUGUAAUAAGAGUAGUCAUGAAAUUUGUAGACCAUUCCCGUGUAAUUUGAAACUGUGACGUUUUUUAAUUGUAACUAGUAGUAGCUAUGAUUAUAAAUUGUAUGGUAUUGUAACAUUAUUUUAUUAAUUAUUUAACUAAUACUGCCUGAUUUUUGGAAAAUUUCUUACAUUUGCCAAGUUUGAAAUUGUAUAUUAAUAGAUUGAAAGUUAUGUCCUG
This 1707-nucleotide long non-coding RNA is filed under the name Olea europaea subsp. europaea. The record is from RNAcentral. Lineage: Eukaryota; Viridiplantae; Streptophyta; Magnoliopsida; Lamiales; Oleaceae.